Molecule: ribosomal RNA, 383 nt
Filed under: uncultured beta proteobacterium
Lineage: Bacteria; Pseudomonadati; Pseudomonadota; Betaproteobacteria
Description: bacterial SSU rRNA
Rfam family: Bacterial small subunit ribosomal RNA
Source: RNAcentral
GAGUUUGAUCAUGGCUCAGAUUGAACGCUGGCGGCAUGCCUUACACAUGCAAGUCGAACGGUAACGGGCCUUCGGGUGCCGACGAGUGGCGAACGGGUGAGUAAUGUAUCGGAACGUACCUUUCAGUGGGGGAUAACGUAGCGAAAGUUACGCUAAUACCGCAUAUUCUGUGCGCAGGAAAGCAGGGGAUCGCAAGACCUUGCGCUGAUUGAGCGGCCGAUAUCAGAUUUAGCUAGUUGGUGAGGUAAAGGCUCACCAAGGCGACGAUCUGUAGCGGGUCUGAGAGGAUGAUCCGCCACACUGGAACUGAGACACGGUCCAGACUCCUACGGGAGGCAGCAGUGGGGAAUUUUGGACAAUGGGGGCAACCCUGAUCCAGCCAU